Molecule: ribosomal RNA, 121 nt
Filed under: Dactylaria sp.
Lineage: Eukaryota; Fungi; Ascomycota; Leotiomycetes; Helotiales
Description: partial large subunit ribosomal RNA
Source: RNAcentral
CGGCAACAGCUCAAAUUUGAAAUCUGGCCUUUGGCCCGAGCUGUAAUUUGUAGAGGAUGCUUUUGGUGCGGUGCCUUCCGAGUUCCCUGGAACGGGACGCCUUAGAGGGUGAGAACCCCGU